UACGUAGGGACCAAGCGUUGUUCGGAUUUACUGGGCGUAAAGGGCGCGUAGGCGGCGCGGUAAGUCACUUGUGAAAUCUCUGAGCUUAACUCAGAACGGCCAAGUGAUACUGCAGUGCUAGAGUGUGGAAGGGGCAAUCGGAAUUCUUUGUGUAGCGGUGAAAUGCGUAGAUAUCAAGAGGAACACCUGAGGUGAAGACGGGUUGCUGGGCCAACACUGACGCUGAGGCGCGAAAGCCAGGGGAGCAAACGGG
This 253-nucleotide ribosomal RNA is filed under the name uncultured bacterium. RNAcentral describes it as "partial 16S ribosomal RNA". It matches the Rfam family "Bacterial small subunit ribosomal RNA", at positions 524 to 776 of the family's 1533-position model. The record is from RNAcentral.